Molecule: ribosomal RNA, 464 nt
Filed under: Vreelandella stevensii
Lineage: Bacteria; Pseudomonadati; Pseudomonadota; Gammaproteobacteria; Oceanospirillales; Halomonadaceae
Description: partial 16S ribosomal RNA
Rfam family: Bacterial small subunit ribosomal RNA
Source: RNAcentral
CCUACGGGUGGCAGCAGUGGGGAAUAUUGGACAAUGGGCGAAAGCCUGAUCCAGCCAUGCCGCGUGUGUGAAGAAGGCCUUCGGGUUGUAAAGCACUUUCAGUGGGGAAGAAAGCCUUGGGGCUAAUACCCUCGAGGAAGGACAUCACCCACAGAAGAAGCACCGGCUAACUCCGUGCCAGCAGCCGCGGUAAUACGGAGGGUGCGAGCGUUAAUCGGAAUUACUGGGCGUAAAGCGCGCGUAGGCGGUCUGAUAAGCCGGUUGUGAAAGCCCCGGGCUCAACCUGGGAACGGCAUCCGGAACUGUCAGGCUAGAGUGCAGGAGAGGAAGGUAGAAUUCCCGGGGUAGCGGUGAAAUGCGUAGAGAUCGAGAGGAAUACCAGUGGCGAAGGCGGCCUUCUGGACUGACACUGACGCUGAGGUGCGAAAGCGUGGGUAGCAAACAGGAUUAGAUACCGUGUAGUC